UUUUAUCUAAACAUUGAACAGGAACAAACUGAAAAACAAAAUUGAACAACUUAACAACAAAGAAUGAUGAACAUGAACUUAUUUGCUCACUUUACUGAAUAGUUCAUUGGUGCUCUUUCGUUUGUGAACGACUCAACGCUACUAAAUACCUCCCAAAAGUGCUGAACGUAGUCAGAAGGCAAUCGUUUCGAACGCUUUGCUUAGAAGCACACUUAACAAAUCAUGUCACAUAGCAAACUUAUCAGGAAUGAUUCUUAACACGCCUUGGAAACGCCAUUCAGUGCAGUACAUUUUAGAGGACCGCCAGGACCCACACUAAACUCUCCAAUCAAUGCAAUUAAAGUAAAUGCACAACAACAAUUGCACAACGAGCAUGUUCAUAUGGAUAUGUGCUAUACGUGUUAUACUUAUAUAUACUACGAUAUAAUGGCCCAGACAUCGCGUGAGUUGUGCUAAUGCAUUGCCACACCCAGCUAUGAGAGCGGGCGUUGACGAGGCCAAGGAGUCGACGAGGAGGCAUGGGGUGUAAUCCUUUUUUAUAUUCGCGCGUCGAGUGCAGCACGUGAAGUCAAAGUCGAUGGCGAAGUCGAUUGUGAAAGGAAUUCAACAAUGAAACCAUGGCAACAACAACAGCAACACAACACAAAAAUGGGCUGCACAAAAAGUGCCAAGAGAGGGAAGUGGGAAGAGGUGGUGAGUUUUACACUAGACGGAAGCGAGUAGACGACAAAGCGACAAAGUGCGUCAUCAAAGCGCAAUUUUAAACUUUACACUCGCAGAAAUAAGACACAAGAUACAUUCAAAGUGUUUUCUAAAUGGCAAGCAAUUAUAUUAUUAACUUAAUGUUAAAUUCAUAGAUUAAUUGUGCAAUUAAAAUCAAUUAAUAAAUUACAUUUUUUAUUACGCAU
Drosophila sulfurigaster albostrigata is the source of this 908-nucleotide long non-coding RNA. RefSeq lists it as uncharacterized. Lineage: Eukaryota; Metazoa; Arthropoda; Insecta; Diptera; Drosophilidae. The record is from RefSeq and is a predicted model, not a curated record. The transcript has 2 exons.